UCUAAGGUUUGGCCAAAUAAAUUUGGGGAUUCAGUAAAUCCCUGAGGAAGUAUGGUCCAUCUGAGCUGUUGUUGCCUUCCUGUUUCAGGGUCUUCCCAUUCAAAGGUGAAGAGAGGAGAAAAUUCUGAGACCCUUCACUUAAUGGGCAGGCCCAGAAAGCAUCCUUCAAAUCUGUUACACUAUACCAUUUAAUUUUUCUCCUGACCCAUCCUGGAACCUUCAAAGAAGUUCCGAAUCCCUGGAACCCUCAAAGAGGUUCCGAAUCCCUGGCUGUGCCUGUGUCUGGAGGUGUCUUUCAAGUGGUUAACCCACCCACGAAUUCCUAGAGCAAUCACUUCAGUCCUUCACCGGCCAAGUCCCUCGCGGGAGAUCGGAACCGUGGUUAGAAGACCUCCACACUCGCUUAGGAACUAAGUUCCAUCUCAGUCACACCCUUACACACAGUCACACAACCGAAUCCUACCCCAGCUGAACAGUAUACUCACAAAUCCUCUUUGUUCAGGUCUUCGCACACAGAAUUACAGGUCAUAGAGGGAGAGUUCUUGGUUCUUUACUUGCCUCUUAUGUUCGAAAUCUUAUUGGACUCUAGUGCCGCUAUUGGCAAGGGCUUCCCUUAACCGGUCGCAGAUCUAAAGUCCAAGAAGAUCACGUUGGGGUCACCAAUUUGU
Oxyura jamaicensis (ruddy duck) is the source of this 668-nucleotide long non-coding RNA. RefSeq lists it as uncharacterized. The record is from RefSeq and is a predicted model, not a curated record. The transcript has 2 exons. Lineage: Eukaryota; Metazoa; Chordata; Aves; Anseriformes; Anatidae.